AGAAUCAACGCUGGCGGCGUGCCUAACACAUGCAAGUCGAACGCGAAAGUCCCGCAAGGGAUAAGUAGAGUGGCAAACGGGUGAGUAACACGUGGGUGACCUGCCUUCGAGUGGGGGAUAACGUCCCGAAAGGGACGCUAAUACCGCAUAACAUCCUGCCUUUUAAGAGGUGGAGAGCAAAGCUGGGGAUCGCAAGACCUAGCGCUUGAAGAGGGGCCCGCGUCCGAUUAGCUAGUUGGUGGGGUAACGGCUCACCAAGGCGACGAUCGGUA
RNAcentral lists this ribosomal RNA (272 nucleotides) under uncultured bacterium. RNAcentral describes it as "partial small subunit ribosomal RNA". It matches the Rfam family "Bacterial small subunit ribosomal RNA", at positions 26 to 285 of the family's 1533-position model. The record is from RNAcentral.